This 2049-nucleotide ribosomal RNA is filed under the name human gut metagenome. RNAcentral's name for it is "bacterial LSU rRNA". It matches the Rfam family "Bacterial large subunit ribosomal RNA", at positions 3 to 2087 of the family's 2925-position model. The record is from RNAcentral.
UUAAGCAAAGAAGAGCGCAGGGUGGAUGCCUUGGCACUAAGAGCCGAAGAAAGACGUGAUAAGCUGCGAAAAGCUGCGGGGAGAUGCAAAUAAUCCUUGAUCCGCAGAUGUCUGAAUGGGGAAACCCGGUACGAAGAACUCGUAUCAUCCAUACGCCAAUCCAUAACGUAUGGAGGGGAACCCGGUGAACUGAAACAUCUAAGUAGCCGGAGGAAGAGAAAGAAACAUCGAUUUUGUUAGUAGCGGCGAGCGAAAGCGAAAGAGGCCAAACCGGAGUGCGUGCACUCCGGGGUUCGGACCGCAUUUAAGAUUCAGUGAUUCUAGCAGAAAGGUUUGGGAAAGCCUGCCGGAGAGGGUGAAAGCCCCGUAAGCGAAAGGAGAGCUGACUGAGCGGAAUCCAGAGUACAUCGAGACACGAGAAACCUUGAUGGAAAGAGCGGGGACCACCCCGUAAGCCUAAAUACUACUUAGUGACCGAUAGCGCAUAGUACUGUGAAGGAAAGGUGAAAAGGACCCCGGGAGGGGAGUGAAAGAGAACCUGAAACCCUGUGUUUACAAGCUGUGGAAGUUCUUUAAAUGAACAACCGCGUACUUUUUGUAGAACGGUCCGGCGAGUUGCGGAUACUGGCAAGGUUAAGCACUUAAGGUGCGGAGCCGAAGGGAUACCAAGUCUUAACAGGGCGUUAAGUCAGUGUACGCAGACCCGAAACCGGGUGAUCUAUCCAUGUCCAGGUUGAAGUUGUCGUAAAAGACAAUGGAGGACCGAAGCCACAUCCGUUGAAAAGGGUGGGCAUGAGGUGUGGAUAGGGGAGAAAUUCCAAUCGAACCCGGAGAUAGCUGGUUCUCCUCGAAAUAGCUUUAGGGCUAGCCUCGAUUUAGUCUUAUGGAGGUAGAGCACUGAAUUUCCGCGGGGGCGUCAAAGCUUACCAAAGAAUAUCAAACUCCGAAUGCCAUGUAGAUGAUGAUCGGGAGUCAGACUGCACGAGAUAAGUUGGGCAGUCAAAAGGGAAAGAGCCCAGACCACCGGCUAAGGUCCCAAAGUGCGUGUUAAGUGGAAAAGGAUGUGGGAAUUCGAAGACAACUAGGAUGUUGGCUCAGAAGCAGCCAUACAUUCAAAGAGUGCGUAACAGCUCACUAGUCGAGAGUUCCUGCGCCGAAAAUGUCCGGGGCUGAAACACGACACCGAAGCCGUGGACUCGCAAUGCGAGUGGUAGAGGAGCAUUCUUAAAACCGACGAAGCUGUACCGGAAGGAGCAGUGGAGGGAUAAGAAGAGAGAAUGCCGGAAUGAGUAGCGAGAGAAAGGUGGGAAUCCUUUCGGCCGAAUAUCUAAGGUUUCCAGAGUAAAGCUGAUCUGCUCUGGGUAAGUCGGGGCCUAAGCACAGGUCGCAAGACGUAAGCGAUGGAUAACAGGUUUAGAUUCCUGUACCACGCAUUAUCAGAACUGUAGGGACGCAUGUGGAAAGCACGGGCCGGGAAUGGAAAGACCGGUACAAGCGGGGUAGGUGUACAAUAGGCAAAUCCGUUGUAUAAUCCGAAGACGUGAUGUGGAGCGAAAUAAAGUAGCAAAGCGUGUGAGCCAUGUGCCGAGAAAAGCUGCUAUUGUGUAAUGCGUGCCCGUACCGUAAACCGACACAGGUGGAUGAGGAGAGAAUCCUAAGGCCGACGGAAGAAGCAUUGUUAAGGAAUUCGGCAAAAUGACCCCGUAACUUCGGGAGAAGGGGUGCCUGCGAGAGCAGGCCGCAGAGAAUAGGCUCAAGCAACUGUUUAGCAAAAACACAGGUCUAUGCGAAACCGAAAGGUGAAGUAUAUGGGCUGACGCCUGCCCGGUGCUGGAAGGUUAAGAGGAGAGGUUAGCUUCGGCGAAGCUUUGAAUUUAAGCCCCAGUAAACGGCGGCCGUAACUAUAACGGUCCUAAGGUAGCGAAAUUCCUUGUCGGGUAAGUUCCGACCCGCACGAAAGGCGUAAUGAUUUGAGCACUGUCUCGACAAUGCAUCCGGUGAAAUUGAAGUACCAGUGAAGAUGCUGGUUACCCGCGCCAGGACGGAAAG